UACGGGGGGGGCAAGCGUUGUCCGGAAUUACUGGGCGUAAAGCGCACGUAGGCGGCUUCUUAAGUCGGUGGUGAAAUCCUGGAGCUCAACUCCAGAACUGCCUUCGAUACUGGGAAGCUCGAGUCCGGGAGAGGUGAGUGGAACUGCGAGUGUAGAGGUGAAAUUCGUAGAUAUUCGCAAGAACACCAGUGGCGAAGGCGGCUCACUGGCCCGGUACUGACGCUGAGGUGCGAAAGCGUGGGGAGCAAACAGG
Molecule: ribosomal RNA, 253 nt
Filed under: uncultured bacterium
Lineage: Bacteria
Description: partial 16S ribosomal RNA
Rfam family: Bacterial small subunit ribosomal RNA
Source: RNAcentral